AACGAACGCUGGCGGCAGGCCUAACACAUGCAAGUCGAGCGAACCCUUCGGGGUUAGCGGCGGACGGGUUAGUAACGCGUGGGAAUAUACCCUUUGGUACGGAAUAGCCUCGGGAAACUGAGAGUAAUACCGUAUGUGCCCUUCGGGGGAAAGAUUUAUCGCCAAAGGAUUAGCCCGCGUUGGAUUAGAUAGUUGGUGGGGUAAUGGCCUACCAAGUCUACGAUCCAUAGCUGGUUUGAGAGGAUGAUCAGCAACACUGGGACUGAGACACGGCCCAGACUCCUACGGGAGGCAGCAGUGGGGAAUCUUAGACAAUGGGCGCAAGCCUGAUCUAGCCAUGCCGCGUGGACGAUGAAGGCCUUAGGGUUGUAAAGUCCUUUCAGAUGGGAAGAUAAUGACGGUACCAUCAGAAGAAGCCCGGCUAACUCCGUG
This 432-nucleotide ribosomal RNA is filed under the name uncultured bacterium. Its description in RNAcentral is "bacterial SSU rRNA". It matches the Rfam family "Bacterial small subunit ribosomal RNA", at positions 29 to 507 of the family's 1533-position model. The record is from RNAcentral.